GUGGGGAAUAUUGGGCAAUGGGGGAAACCCUGACCCAGCAACGCCGCGUGAAGGAAGAAGGUUUUCGGAUCGUAAACUUCUAUCCUUGGUGAAGAUAAUGACGGUAGCCAAGAAGGAAGCCCCGGCUAACUACGUGCCAGCAGCCGCGGUAAUACGUAGGGGGCAAGCGUUGUCCGGAAUGAUUGGGCGUAAAGGGCGCGUAGGCGGCCUGGUAAGUCUGGAGUGAAAGUCCUGCUUUUAAGGUGGGAAUUGCUUUGGAUACUGUCGGGCUUGAGUGCAGGAGAGGUAAGUGGAAUUCCCGGUGUAGCGGUGAAAUGCGUAGAGAUCGGGAGGAACACCAGUGGCGAAGGCGACUUACUGGACUGUAACUGACGCUGAGGCGCGAAAGUGUGGGGAGCAAACAGGAUUAGAAACCCUAGUAGUCC
Molecule: ribosomal RNA, 425 nt
Filed under: uncultured bacterium
Lineage: Bacteria
Description: partial 16S ribosomal RNA
Rfam family: Bacterial small subunit ribosomal RNA
Source: RNAcentral